CAAUGAUGUAUCAAUAAAACCUCUUGCUGCUGGAGAUCUGCUUACCUGGUGGCCAGGGUGGCAAGACAAGUGAAGCCUGACUAUGCCUGCAGCAUCCACUGUGGAAACUACUACAUCUUUGCCAUGCCAAACACAGCAUGCUUCUGGUCAGCCUAUACAGUCUCUGUCCUGGUGAGGAGCAUGAUCACCAACAGGCAAGAUCUUCUGGCCUUGAAGUUUCGCUUGAGUUAAAAGAGCUCAUCUCAGGACUUUCUGAAUUUUCAGCCCAUAUGACAUGGAAGAAGAGUUAGAAGGGGAAUCUGACUGCUUGGAUCAGGGACUGUCUGGCUGGUGGAACUUGAAUGUAUACAACACUCUUCAUUUGCAUGUUUUGACAUUUUAAAAAAUGUUUUCACUUUCCUUAUCUACUUUGACUCUAAUAACAUCCUGAAAGGUAAGUAGAAUUAUUCUCAUAAUAUGAUGAAGAACCCAAGGCUCUCAAGGGAACACCACUCUUGGAUUAUUUAGCCCCGCUCUUCUACAAGAAUUGCAUACCCCAACCCCUGGAGCCCCUCCC
This 556-nucleotide long non-coding RNA is filed under the name Homo sapiens (human). RNAcentral describes it as "novel transcript, antisense to CD48". Lineage: Eukaryota; Metazoa; Chordata; Mammalia; Primates; Hominidae. The record is from RNAcentral.